Molecule: ribosomal RNA, 1208 nt
Filed under: Campylobacter jejuni
Lineage: Bacteria; Pseudomonadati; Campylobacterota; Epsilonproteobacteria; Campylobacterales; Campylobacteraceae
Description: partial 23S ribosomal RNA
Rfam family: Bacterial large subunit ribosomal RNA
Source: RNAcentral
AAAAAAGGUAAGCUACUAAGAGCGAAUGGUGGAUGCCUUGACUGGUAAAGGCGAUGAAGGACGUACUAGACUGCGAUAAGCUACGGGGAGCUGUCAAGAAGCUUUGAUCCGUAGAUUUCCGAAUGGGGCAACCCAAUGUAUAGAGAUAUACAUUACCUAUAUAGGAGCGAACGAGGGGAAUUGAAACAUCUUAGUACCCUCAGGAAAAGAAAUCAAUAGAGAUUGCGUCAGUAGCGGCGAGCGAAAGCGCAAGAGGGCAAACCCAGUGCUUGCACUGGGGGUUGUAGGACUGCAAUAUGCAAGAGGUAAGUUUAGCAGAACAUUCUGGAAAGUAUAACCAUAGAGGGUGAUAGUCCCGUAUGCGAAAAACAAACCUUAGCUAGCAGUAUCCUGAGUAGGGCGGGACACGAGGAAUCCUGUCUGAAUCCGGGUCGACCACGAUCCAACCCUAAAUACUAAUACCAGAUCGAUAGUGCACAAGUACCGUGAGGGAAAGGUGAAAAGAACUGAGGUGAUCAGAGUGAAAUAGAACCUGAAACCAUUUGCUUACAAUCAUUCAGAGCCCUAUGUAGCAAUACAGGGUGAUGGACUGCCUUUUGCAUAAUGAGCCUGCGAGUUGUGGUGUCUGGCAAGGUUAAGCAAACGCGAAGCCGUAGCGAAAGCGAGUCUGAAUAGGGCGCUUAGUCAGAUGCUGCAGACCCGAAACGAAGUGAUCUAUCCAUGAGCAAGUUGAAGCUAGUGUAAGAACUAGUGGAGGACUGAACCCAUAGGCGUUGAAAAGCCCCGGGAUGACUUGUGGAUAGGGGUGAAAGGCCAAUCAAACUUCGUGAUAGCUGGUUCUCUCCGAAAUAUAUUUAGGUAUAGCGUUGUGUCGUAAUAUAAGGGGGUAGAGCACUGAAUGGGCUAGGGCAUACACCAAUGUACCAAACCCUAUCAAACUCCGAAUACCUUAUAUGUAAUCACAGCAGUCAGGCGGCGAGUGAUAAAAUCCGUCGUCAAGAGGGAAACAACCCAGACUACCAGCUAAGGUCCCUAAGUCUUACUUAAGUGGAAAACGAUGUGAAGUUACUUAAACAACCAGGAGGUUGGCUUAGAAGCAGCCAUCCUUUAAAGAAAGCGUAAUAGCUCACUGGUCUAGUGAUUUUGCGCGGAAAAUAUAACGGGGCUAAAGUAAGUACCGAAGCUGUAGACUUAGUUUACUAAGUGGU